ACGUGAAUACACAAACUCAUGUUUAAUUUAUUUAAUUACAUUACAAAAUUAGAGCUUUUCAGAAAAACAUCUGCCAUUACGCCGCCACACCACUAGAGGGUACAUUGGGUGCGCAUGAAACACGUGAGAGAGCUACUUCCCCCUGUUUAACGCGCUCAGUAAUAAACUGACUGCCGCUUGGAAAGGAUCUAACUUUUUUUCUCUCGUGUUUCUCUCAGGUAUGAACAUAAAUAACUAAAAUAUUCAUUUUAUUGUACUUGGGUGAAUCGGCAGGUGUUAUACAGAGAGUUUGAGUGUUAAGCGUUGUAUUUUAACCCAUAAAGGAUUAUAUAAAAAAAAACAAAUAAUAAGUUUAAUCGUGUGUCGUGUCUGGUUUGUGUUGUAUUAAUAUUAAUUUAUAUAUAAAUUAAUGUAUAGAUUAAUGUUUAUCAUGCUCAAAUACUGAGUUCAUGUCAUAUAUAAAAGUAUUUAGGAAGUGUUCUAGAAUUACAUUGCGGAGUGUAUGUUGCAUUCUAAUUUCAAUCGCCAUUUUGGGGUUCAGCACGUGUAUUUUUUCAGUGUGUGCACAUGCAUGAGUGAAAUACAGUGACAGACAAAUUUUAUCCAGUUAAUGUAUCAAGUGUAAGGAAAUCCAAAGUCUUGAAGGUUUUCUGGUGUCUUUUAUAAAUGUUUUUGUGCAGUUUUGACACACUUAUUUUUUUGUACUGUCAUUGUAAGUUAUAAUUAUUGUAAAUUGAUGAAACCUCCAAAUGCAUAUAAGGUGUACCUGCAUAUAACUGUAUUUGUAUGUUUACACCUACAAGUAUACAUAAUGUAUACAAUAUUAGAUACCAUGGAAUGUUUUGCAUAUAUUUAGCCAGUGUCUUGGUGAAUUUGUUUUUCUGUUGAAUUGUGUUUUACCAAAUUCACUUGAAGUUUAGAAAGUGUAAUCUUUCUUAGAAGUUAAAGCAUUUAAAGAAAAAGUAUUGCAGUAAUAAACUGACUGCCACUUGGAACGCAUCUAACUUUUGUUCUCUCGUGUUUCUCUCAGUUUAUUCUCUGAUCCGCAGUGGUCCACCUGUGUAUCAUUUGCUGCCGGCACAGAUGUCCCCUAGGUCUGGGGCCGGUAACAAUUGGGGGCUCUCUCCGGGAUACAGCACAUCUCGUUUUGGGAAGGUUGUCAUAGUAACCGUGAAAUCUUGUGACCAGUGUUUCAGGGAAGACUGCAGUGUCAAGUGUCAUCCAAAGAACAGCUGACACAGGUGAUGCAUCAACAUGACUACCUUAAGCCAACGCCGAGUGCUGGUCUUCAAGAUCCAAAAGAAACUUUCAGAUCUGAAUCCUAGUAAGCUGCAGACUGUUGCCAGUUGCUGAUCUCAGUGAACCCGAGCUGUACGACCUAAUCAUCGACUACAUCAGAAUUGAGAAGCUAAAAGCAACUUCUCCUCCUUUUCGACUUGCUCAAUGAUGUACCAUCAGCUUCAGACACCCAAGCCACUGAACCUGGUACUGUUGUACCUGACCUGGCUGUGGAUUCACCAACACACCACUGUCAUCAUACUCCAACCAGUGAUGAUGGAGAAGAUGAUCUACCACCAUCCUCUAUGGACAGAGUUACUCUUUGCACACAACCACUACAAAUGGACAAAGACACUCACUUGCACUCCUCAUUUCAGGGCGGAGACAGCUAUGUACUUACCAGGGAAGUCACUUCAUCAGCGCCAGGUAUGCCCUCCCACGUCGGCGCUGUUCCUUUGGAGUUUACGAUCAGCAAGGGGGUGCUGAGGGUAAGAGGCGACAAAUGGGGUGACUCGUUGGCCGUGAGUUGCGACUCGUGUCGUUGGAGGAAGAGGUCCUGGUGCUUGAGGAUUGUGGUUAUUGCAACUUCCACUUAACCAACACAUCACUUUGGCUCCUACUUCAACCAGACGGGAGGUUGGGAAGGCCCGUCCCAAUCAAUCGGCUUGUCAGGACUCGCCCUGGAAAUAGGUUGGGUUGAAACUCGCUUCUUCCAGAAGACACUGGCGAAGGGUCAAUUGAGUAUUGUGGACCUCGUGUUUAUAUGCUCAAAUAUACCAUUUCUGUAUCCUUGAUGUACAUCCGGUGGAUGUCCACGGCUCUGUACAUCCCCUUGUAGGGAUCCAAGGUGGGUGAGGAGCAGGGAUGAUGAACAAAUAUUCUUCUAACAUGGCGAACAAACAAAACACCAAAAAACGAUUACUGGACCAUGAUUUGGAGGUUGAACUAAAGGCUGAUCUUAUUUUCUCCUUUGAUAAUGAAAACUGGCAAAGAUUUAUUUUACUGGAGUCACUGACUUAAAGACAUGCCCCAUACCAAACUGUCUCCUUUUGCAAUCCUAAAAGGAAUAACUGGAAUUGCGGGAACAGUCAGAGAUAUCAAGAAGCUGCGGUCUGGACAGAUCUUGGUGGAUUGUGCUAGGAAAGCAAACUACGACCUUGGCUGGUAUAGAUAUGAAAGCCUACUGUCAUCCUUCUUUGAACAAUAGCAAAGGCGUGCUCCGCACCAGAGAGCUGCAGGAUGUUAAAGCAUUUAAAGAAAAAGUAUUGUAGUAAUAAACUGACUGCCGCUUGGAACGCAUCUAACUUUUGUUCUCUCGUGUUUCUCUCGGUUUAUUCUCUGAUCCACAGUGGUCCACCUGUGUAUCAUUUGCUGUCGGCACAGAUAUCCCCUAGGUCUGGGGCCGGUAACACUCACUCAGAACUCUCUGAUGGUGCGAAGUAUUGUUAGCACUGUCUGCAUUCGGAGUGUAAUAUUCUGUUCCGUCUAUUGCCUUGUUUUGAUCUUGCUGGUUUAUCGUGUUUAUGUAUGUUUGCUACCUGCCCUGACCCACGCCCGGAUUAUUGACUACAGUUUUUGGAUUUCCUUUGAUGUUGUUUGCCUGAUGUGUGACCCUUGCCUGUUUUGGAUAUUGCCUAAUAAACCAGCAUUUGGAUCUAACCUGUUUCAGGUGCAUGACAUAUACACAAUAAGCUUAAACAUUACACUACAUCGUGUUUUGUAGCUGAAAACCUUUAACAAUGUGUGCAAACAAAAAAGUACAGAGCAAAAGCAAAAAAAAGUGG
This is a long non-coding RNA of Tachysurus fulvidraco (yellow catfish), 3062 nucleotides long. RefSeq lists it as uncharacterized. The record is from RefSeq and is a predicted model, not a curated record. NCBI's taxonomy places the organism in Eukaryota, Metazoa, Chordata, Actinopteri, Siluriformes, Bagridae. The transcript has 2 exons.